Molecule: non-coding RNA, 210 nt
Organism: Pelobates cultripes (western spadefoot toad)
Lineage: Eukaryota; Metazoa; Chordata; Amphibia; Anura; Pelobatidae
Source: the annotation of a GenBank genome assembly
GUCUGGAUAACUAUAGUGGUCUUUUAAGUCAUUUAUUGUUUAAUAUCCACAUGGAUUCUCUCUUUCCCUGACUUCCAGUGGGGAUCCUUUCACUGCCGGACGGCCAAACGGUCACUGGAGGCAGCAAGGGAGCCGUAUUCUGUCUGCUCUGCUUCUUCGCGUGCCACUUAGUGAUCCCGGGGGCCAGAGGAACGUCAUAGUACGGUUAGG